UUUCCGUAGGUGAACCUGCGGAAGGAUCAUUGUCGGUACAUGAACAAAUAGACCGCGAACAUGUUCAAACACUGGGGACCGUUGCGUGGGGCAAACCCGCGGCGUGUCCUCCUCCCGCGCGGGCUGCGGGCUAACGAACCCCGGCGCGGCAUGCGCCAAGGAAAACGGAUAGGAGCGUCUGCCCUCGUCGCACCGUCCGCGGUGAGCGAGGGGGACGUGCCUCAAUGUCUAAAUGACUCUCGGCAACGGACAUCUCGGCUCUCGCAUCGAUGAAGAACGUAGCGAAAUGCGAUACUUGGUGUGAAUUGCAGAAUCCCGUGAACCAUCGAGUCUUUGAACGCAAGUUGCGCCCGAAGCCUCACGGCCGAGGGCACGCCUGCCUGGGCGUCACGCAUCACGUCGCCCCCGACCUCCUCCGGACAUUGGCCUCCCGUGUGCAUCAGCUCGCGGCCGGCUUAAAUGAAUUCACGAGGCACCCGCCGUCACGACAAGCGUUGGUUGAGCACUCAACUCUCUUCCUGUCGUGUUGGGAGCGUCGCGUACCCUUAGACCCAACGGUGUGACCCUUCGUAGGCGACCCCAGGUCAGGCGGGACCACCCGCUGAGUUUAA
RNAcentral lists this ribosomal RNA (611 nucleotides) under Striga gesnerioides (cowpea witchweed). RNAcentral describes it as "eukaryotic LSU rRNA". The stretch from base 235 to 390 matches the Rfam family "5.8S ribosomal RNA". Lineage: Eukaryota; Viridiplantae; Streptophyta; Magnoliopsida; Lamiales; Orobanchaceae. The record is from RNAcentral.